GAUGAACGCUGGCGGCGUGCCUAAUACAUGCAAGUCGAGCGAACAGAUAAGGAGCUUGCUCCUUUGACGUUAGCGGCGGACGGGUGAGUAACACGUGGGUAACCUACCUAUAAGACUGGAAUAACUCCGGGAAACCGGGGCUAAUGCAGGAUAACACGUUGAACCGCAUGGUUCUACAGUGAAAGGCGGCUUUGCUGUCACUUAUAGAUGGACCCGCGCCGUAUUAGCUAGUUGGUGAGGUAACGGCUCACCAAGGCAACGAUACGUAGCCGACCUGAGAGGGUGAUCGGCCACACUGGAACUGAGACACGGUCCAGACUCCUACGGGAGGCAGCAGUAGGGAAUCUUCCGCAAUGGGCGAAAGCCUGACGGAGCAACGCCGCGUGAGUGAUGAAGGUCUUCGGAUCGUAAAACUCUGUUAUUAGGGAAGAACAAAUGCGUAAGUAACUGUGCGCGUCUUGACGGUACCUAAUCAGAAAGCCACGGCUAACUACGUG
RNAcentral lists this ribosomal RNA (497 nucleotides) under uncultured bacterium. RNAcentral's name for it is "partial 16S ribosomal RNA". It matches the Rfam family "Bacterial small subunit ribosomal RNA", at positions 28 to 507 of the family's 1533-position model. The record is from RNAcentral.